UGCAAUAGCGCAUAGUUAAUAAAAAGCUUUUGUUCACAGGACUGGAACAGCAUUACAAAAAACAUUACAACUUGAGACUCUGCAAGAAAUUAACAUAGAGGAUACAGUUCAUGACUGUAAUAUCCCAGAAGCAACUGACCGACCUUUGACAAGCAAGAAAGGUCUUCCUCGACGCUACAAGCUAAGGCCUGAGGAUCCAAGGCGUUAUGGUUUGCUGUCCGGAGUUCCUGCACCAUCAACAGAGGAACUUCUACAACACCUACGGACUUGCGGUGAUGGUAAAACUUUGCCACAGACAUAGGUGUUGGGGGAGGCAAGAGAAAACCCAAAACCUUCUUUAUUUUUGUUUCCUGUGUUUUUUUUUUUUUUUU
Non-coding RNA from Nothobranchius furzeri (turquoise killifish), 371 nucleotides. NCBI's taxonomy places the organism in Eukaryota, Metazoa, Chordata, Actinopteri, Cyprinodontiformes, Nothobranchiidae. The record is from RefSeq and is a predicted model, not a curated record.